AUCGAUGAAGAACGCAGCGAAAUGCGAUAAGUAAUGUGAAUUGCAGAAUUCAGUGAAUCAUCGAAUCUUUGAACGCACAUUGCGCCCCUCGGUAUUCCGGGGGGCAUGCCUGUUCGAGCGUCAUUGCACCCCUCAAGCGUAGCUUGGUCUUGGGCCCUCGCCGUCGUGGCGUGCCCGAAAAUCAGUGGCGGUCCGGGCCGGCUUCGAGCGCAGUAAACAUUAAAACCGCUCCGAACGUUCGGUCCGCGACUGGCCAGACAACCCCGUCCAUUCUAUGAUUGACCUCGGAUCAGGUAGGGAUACCCGCUGAACUUAA
Molecule: ribosomal RNA, 316 nt
Filed under: Sulcaria isidiifera
Lineage: Eukaryota; Fungi; Ascomycota; Lecanoromycetes; Lecanorales; Parmeliaceae
Description: eukaryotic LSU rRNA
Rfam family: 5.8S ribosomal RNA (bases 1-123)
Source: RNAcentral